UUAGAAGAAUUAAUAUUGUUAAAAUAACCAUACUACUGACAUUAUACCGCUGAAAGAAAAUCUGUGUUGAUCGUUUUUGAUUUUGCCUUUAUGGGGGUAAACUCAUGACAGAUUGACAUAAAAAAAU
Physeter macrocephalus (sperm whale) is the source of this 127-nucleotide small nucleolar RNA. The record is from Ensembl. Lineage: Eukaryota; Metazoa; Chordata; Mammalia; Artiodactyla; Physeteridae.